This is a non-coding RNA of Misgurnus anguillicaudatus (oriental weatherfish), 787 nucleotides long. The record is from RefSeq and is a predicted model, not a curated record. Lineage: Eukaryota; Metazoa; Chordata; Actinopteri; Cypriniformes; Cobitidae.
GCACACAGAAUAAAAGUAGAUCUACGCAGUUGUUGGUCCACAUCAAGCCGGCAGUGUAAGCGCGAAGGUAAAUACGAUGAAGGCAUGGCUUGGUGGCCUCCAGAACCUUUUACAGCCCACGUGAUCAAAUAGCUUGCGCGCGCAUUUCGGCCACGGAAGUGUUGUUGUUCCCCAGUGGUUCUCUAACCUGUUAGCAACUCAGAAAGUUUAUUAAAACGGUUUCCCAGCAUCAAAAUGUCUGGUUGUUGCGUUUGGUUGCACUAAUAUAAUAUACUAAUAUACGUAUAUAUGUAUCUGGCCACUUUAUAUUUGGCCAUCUGCUAAUGUCUUCUAUCCACUCCACUAUAGUACACGGAUCUGGUAGAUGUGUUGAAAAAGUUGAUAAGUCAACUUUUUAAAAUAACUUUGUCUGUGUUACUUCACUGCUGAUUCUUACCAUACUUCCGUUGCCAAACUGCGUGCACCUACGUUGCCACAUCAUCAUUGUGUACAAAGAGUAAAAGGGUCUAUAAAGACUCAUACAAAAUACUCCAAAGUUUUUUCAAGAGGACAUCACCCAACCCAUCUAAAGGAUGAAAACAAUACUCUUGUUGAAUACUACAUGAGACAAACCAUCCUGACUUAGAUCACCAUCACCACCAUCAUCCCCUGCAUCGUGCCCUUCAUCAGACACCCAAAAUGCACCACAAACAUCACAGGCGAAAAAGAAGAAAACGCACAACAAACCUUCCAAAAAACCCUCCUCCCCCUUCCCUCCUACCUAUGGCUGGAAACAACAUAACAGUUG